RNAcentral lists this long non-coding RNA (1226 nucleotides) under Oncorhynchus kisutch (coho salmon). RNAcentral's name for it is "lncRNA (ENSOKIG00005048591.1)". Lineage: Eukaryota; Metazoa; Chordata; Actinopteri; Salmoniformes; Salmonidae. The record is from RNAcentral.
AAGGGCAGAGGGAAGGAGGGAGGGCUAAAAGCUUGUAGGGAUCUUGUAUCUAGCCCUGUGCAACCAUGCUGGUUUAAACCAACAAAGUAGGAGCAGCUUACACUCACCUGCUGGGACACAAUCACACUGCCCAGUGUGCACGCAUGUGUGUGUGUGUGUGUGUGUGUGUGUGUGUGUGUGUGUGUGUGCAUAAACACACCCACAGCCACACACCCAGACACACACCCACAACCCCACACACACACAGACACACACCCACAACCCCACACACACACAGACACACACCCACAACCACACACCCAGACACACACCCACAACCCCACACCCAGACACACACCCACAACCACACACACAGACACACACACACACAACCCCACACACAGACACACACCCACAAACCCACACCCAGACACACACCCACAACCACACAUACAAAACCACACACACACACAGACACAAAACCACAGACACAGAGACAGACACACACCCACAACCCCACACACAGACAUACACCCACAACCACACAUACAAAACCACACACACACAGACACACACACAAAACCACAGACACACACCCACAACCACACACACAGACACACUCACUACCACAAUCAUACACACAGACACACACCCACAACCCCACACCCAGACAUACACCCACAACCACACAUACAAAACCACACACACACAGACACAAAACCACAGACACAGACACACAUCCACAACCACACACACACUCACUACCACAAUCAUACACACAGACACACACCCACAACCCCACACCCACAACCACACAUACAAAACCACACACACACAGACACAAAACCACAGACACAGAGACAGACACACACCCACACCCACAACCCCACACACAGACACACACCCACAACCCCACACCCAGACACACACCCACAACCACACAUACAAAACCACACACACACACAGACACAAAACCACAGACACAGAGACAGACACACACCCACACACAGACACACACCCACAACCACACAUACAAAACCACACACACACAGACACACACACAAAACCACAGACACACACCCACAACCACAACCACACACACAGACACUCACUACCACAAUCAUACACACAGACACACACCCACAACCACACACACAGUGUGUGUGUGUGUGUGUGUGUGUGUGUGUGUGUGUGUGUGUGUGUGUGUGUGUGCGAGUUUCUUUAGCAAAACCCAGUAGCUGGGACAG